GACGCUUUCACAUGCAGCCUGAUCCACCUGAAGGAGCUGGACCUCUGUGGAAACAAACUGGGAGAUGGAGGUGUGAAGACCCUCUGCACAGCACUGACCUCAAAGACCUGUAAACUGGAGAGACUGUUUUUGGGGUGUUGUGAGAUUACUGCAGUGGGCUGCUCCUCCCUGGCCUUAGCCCUGAAGUCCGGCCACUCCAGCAUCACGCAACUGGGCCUGAUGGGAAACGACACAGGAGAAAAAGGACUGAGAAUUCUCUCUGCCAUCAGGGACGACCCACGCUACAAACUACAGACUCUAGAAAUAAAUGAUUGAUUGAGAGGCUUGGAUUCACAAAGUGGUUCUAAUACUUGGCAACUCUGCUUGAUCCUCAAGAAGAACAAUUCUGUUCUCUGCAUUGAAGAUACCAAAAGAAGAGCACUGGAGUGAAGUGAGUCCAAUGAACCUUGGUCAAAUGUAAUGCUGUAGAGAAGAGGGGCCCAUUUCAAAGACAGAUGGGGUCUGUAGACAACCGAAUUUUCUUCCAUCCACAAUUAAAGUGCCUUCAAGACAUCCUGCUGUGACUGUAUACCUGUCUCUGUUGAGAAGUGAUAUCUCAAGCAUCAAUACCAGCACUUGACAUUAACUUUUUUGCUCACCAGCCAGUGGCUGGUGGUUUUCCGAAGUUACUAGCCACUCACCACUUUCUCUAGCCACCACUUUGUUGUUGGGAAAUUACGUUUCAUUUGAUUAAAUUUGACAAUGAUAUGCCACAUCUAUCUUCUUCACGCUGUCGGUCAAUGGCGCGCAAGGCAAUAAGCCUAACACAAAUGGACCAGAAUCAAACAUUGUAUGCAGUCAGUGCUCAUGGGAGUUGUAGGGACGUUGCUCGUGGUGUCACAUUGCAGUGAGUUUAUUAUUUCUUAUCUUUUGAGAAGACUAAAAUAAAAAUAAAAAGUGGGUGUGUUUGUAUACCGGAUGCCCCUCUGUGAAAUAAUUUAAAUAAUAUGUGGCUACACUUGAAAAAGACAACUAUUUUAAUGUUAAAUCUGUCCUGUUGUCCAUUUGAGCAGCUAAUGCACACUAAAAUGUCCUCCCUAAUAGCAACCAAAGUAUACAAGCAAUAUAUUUAUUCUUACCAUAGGCCUGUCAACAUGUUAUUAAAAAGAAAAAUGAAAUCACUCAUCAGCUUAAUAAUUAAUCGAAGUCAAUAUUAUUGUCUAUUUCGUUAUGCAUCAAAAACGAAACAGCUGCAUAUAUUACAGCCUUUUGUCACGUUAUUUUUUCUCCAUCCUUGCCUUGAGGUCACAUGGUUUUUCUCCCUCUCGACUUCCUUCAGCUGAUCUAGGCUCUGCUGCUGUCGCUAAUCCAUUGUCUUCAGAUUCAUAUAUUUAUUAAAUAUGUUAAUUGUAUAUUUUUUUACACUGUAUAUUGCAUAUAUAGCCUAAUGUUUUUUUUGGUGAUAGUACAUACCCUAAUCUGAUGGUCUUUUCACCAGUCAUCUUCGUUUGUCUUGCGAUCUCUCAUUAAAUAAAUCUGUAAUUCUAGGUUACUAGAAGUGAACUGAAUUUUUAAAAAAAUGUUAUGCCAAAAAAAACAAAACAAGGAUCCACUUUUUUUCCCGACUUCCCUCCGCGAUGUCAGGACCUGUGUGGUCCUGUAUGCAAGGUUGACAUAUUUCAUUGUCAGUAAACUGCAAUUCUCCCGCUGAUUCCAGAGAAAAUCGACCCACCCAAGCCCAUUACAAAAUCCAAAUUUGUUUUGAAAAACCCUCACCUGGCUACAUGCAAAUAUGGAAUAGGUUUCCCCCUACCGUCACAUUAGUUGCAGUGAUUCGCUUGUAUUUUUUUUUAUGAGCGCAAAAUGUUUUUACCGUGGCAAUGCACAGAGGCGGUGCAAGAUUUUGGGAAGGCUCGCGCAUUUGAGUUUGGAAUGCUGGAAAACCCCUGUGUAUAGAUAAAUAAAAUUUCACCCGCAAGAGUGGCUAGUAAGUGUGACUGCGUUACGCGCCACAGCCGAAUUUCACCCGCAUUUGGCGGGUGGGCGAGUGCUAAAUGUCAAGCCCUGAUCAAUACAUUAAAGUACACUCAACUAUGAGCAAAUAUAAAGUAUGUUGAUUAUUUGUCUGUGUAACCUUUGCCUCAUAUUCUUAAAACAAAUAGACAUUUUUUGUUUUUAAUAAGUCCUUCUAUAGUGUCCUUUUAUUUGUGUUCAAUAAAAACAUUUUUUAAAGAAAA
Long non-coding RNA from Esox lucius (northern pike), 2216 nucleotides. The record is from Ensembl. NCBI's taxonomy places the organism in Eukaryota, Metazoa, Chordata, Actinopteri, Esociformes, Esocidae.